CGGGGUUGUAUUGUAACCAAGCUGUAAGUGUCCAUGAUGCAUGGGUAUGAUACGACCUGGG
RNAcentral lists this microRNA precursor (61 nucleotides) under Danio rerio (zebrafish). Its description in RNAcentral is "Dre-Mir-729_pre stem-loop". It matches the Rfam family "mir-729 microRNA precursor family", at positions 15 to 74 of the family's 87-position model. Lineage: Eukaryota; Metazoa; Chordata; Actinopteri; Cypriniformes; Danionidae. The record is from RNAcentral.